UCAGUGUUUAGUAUUAAUUUGUGGUUGUGUAAAUCUGAAUAUUCAUAAAUAUUGUAUUUUUAAUUUUCUCCAGGUUUGGAUUUCAACCUGCAUCCACGAUAGAGGAGCUAAUGAGGUUUGAGAAGGAACAGCAUUAUUCUAAUUUCUAUGGACAUUCCUUCUACUACAUCCUCAACAGUCAACAUUAAGAACUCCAGAUCUUCAGAGAUCUACUCCAACCUCAAUAGUCAACAUAGAGAACUCCAGAUCUUCAGAGUUCUACUCCAACCUUAAUAGUCAACAUAGAGAACUCCAGAUCUCCAGAGUUCUACUCCAACCUCAAUAGUCAACAUAGAGAACCCCAUAUCUUCAGAGUUCUACUCCAACCUCAAUAGUCAACAUAGAGAACCCCAGAUCUUCAGAGUUCUACUCCAACCUCAAUAGUCAACAUAGAGAACUCCAGAUCUGCAGAGUUUUACUCCAACCUCAAUAGUCAACAUAGAGAACUCCAGAUCUUCAGAGUUCUACUCCAACCUCAACAUAGAGAACCCCAGAUCUUCAGAGUUCUACUCCAACCUCAACAUAGAAAACCCCAGAUUUUCAGAGUUCUACUCCAACCUCAAUAGUCAACAUAGAGAACCCCAGAUUUUCAGAGUUCUACUCCAACCUCAAUAGUCAACAUAGAGAACUCCAGAUCUUUAGAGUUCUACUCCAACCUCAAUAGUAAACAUAGAGAACCCCAGAUCUUCAGAGUUCUACUCAAACCUCAAUAGUCAACAGAGAGAACCACAGAUCUUCAGAGUUCUACUUCAAUCUCAACAUAGAGAACUCCGGAUCUCCAGAGUUUCACUCCAAUCUCAACAUAGAGAACUCCAGAUCUUCAGAGUUCUACUCAAACCUAUACAUAGAGUACUCCAGAUCUCCCAUGUUCUACUCCAACGUCAACAUAAAGAACUCCAGAUCUCCCAUGUUCUACUCCAACGUCAACAUACAGAACUCCAGAUAUCUCAACAGUAUCCUUAAACACUUGAUAUGAUGAAAUAAAAAUUCUUUUUUAUUUA
Eurytemora carolleeae is the source of this 1040-nucleotide long non-coding RNA. RefSeq lists it as uncharacterized. The transcript is spliced from 2 exons. NCBI's taxonomy places the organism in Eukaryota, Metazoa, Arthropoda, Copepoda, Calanoida, Temoridae. The record is from RefSeq and is a predicted model, not a curated record.